CGUGGUCAGCAGCAUAAUAUCAUGGUCAGCAGCAGGAUAAUAACGUGGUCAGCAGCAGAAUACCAUGGUCAGCAGGAUAAUAACGUGGUCUGCAGCAAAAUAUAGUGGUCAGCAGGAUAAUAUCGUGGUCAGCAGCAGAUUACCGUGGUCAGCGGCAUAACAUUGUGAUCAGCAGGAUAAUAACGUGGUCAGCAGGAUAACAU
Molecule: non-coding RNA, 203 nt
Organism: Pelobates cultripes (western spadefoot toad)
Lineage: Eukaryota; Metazoa; Chordata; Amphibia; Anura; Pelobatidae
Source: the annotation of a GenBank genome assembly